RNAcentral lists this long non-coding RNA (1229 nucleotides) under Ananas comosus (pineapple). RNAcentral's name for it is "long non-coding RNA (ACOM_LNC003081)". Lineage: Eukaryota; Viridiplantae; Streptophyta; Magnoliopsida; Poales; Bromeliaceae. The record is from RNAcentral.
CCCCAAAUCGAAUCACAAAAUCAAAAGGGGAUUUCUUCGAACCCCAAAUCAAAUUGCAAAAUCAAAAAGGGAUUUCUUCGGACCCCAAAUCGAAUUGCAAAAUCAAAAAAGGAUUUCCUCGGACCCGAAAUAGAAUUGAAAAGAAAACCAAGUCCACAAAUAAAAAACCAAACCCAAAGCCCAAAUCAAGUCCACAAAUAAAAAAUCAAAUCCAAAACCCAAAUCAAGUUCACAAAUAAAACCCGAAUCCAAAUCCAAACCAAGUCCACAUAAGAACCCAAACCCAAAUCAAGUCCACAAAUAAAAAACCAAACCCAAAACCCAAAUCAAGUCCACAAAUAAAAAACCAAAUCCAAAACCCAAAUCAAGUCCACAAAUAAAACCCGAAUCCAAAUCCAAACCGGGUUCUCAAAUCACGUCCACAAAUAAAAAACAAAACCCAAAACCCAAAUCAAGUCCACAAAUAAAAAACCAAAUCCAAAACCCAAAUCAAGUCCACAAAUAAAACCCGAAUCCAAAUCCAAACCAAGUCCACAUAAGGACCCAAAUCCAAAUCAAGUUCACAAAUCCAAAUCCAAACCCAAAAUCGAAACCUAAACCUAAACCCAAAUCCAAUCAAGUCCACAUAAAAGCCCCGAAACCUACAAAAUCUAAACUCAGAUCCAAUUUAGUCCACAAAUAAAUCCAAACUCAAAUCCAAUCCGGACCACAAAUAUAACCCAAACCCAACUUCCAACUUGGACUUAUGAACCCAAAUUUCUUGAAUCAUGAACCAAAUCUUAUACCCAAGGUCAUGAAUCAAAAACCCAAGUUCAUGAACCAAAUCUCAUGAACUGUAAACCAAACCUCAUGAACCAAAUCCCAUAGACCAUGAACCAAACCUCAAAGCUCAUGAACCAUAAACCAAGUUCAUGAACCAAAUGAAUCAAGUUCAUGAAUCAUGAACCAAGUCCAUAAACCAAGUUCAUGAACCAAAUGAAUCAAGUUUAUGAACCAUAAACCAAAUUCAUAUACCCAACCUUAUGAACCACGACCCAAGUUCAUGAACCAUGAACCAAGUCCAUAAACCAAGUUCAUGAACCAUGAACAAAGUCCAUGUCACGCAGGGGUACCAGCGGAAGCAUAUCCGGUACGUGAACAGACCCGCCAUACACCUGCAGUAUAUAAGGCGUCUACAAACAAGCAAGUCGAUAGGAAGAAGAUCAUAGAAAAUUCUAUCCUGAUAUCAA